UUGUGUGGCAAAUACCUUUAAUCACUGAGCCAUCUUACUGGCCCACACCAGGUCUUUUAACGUGGAUGCUGGAGAUAGAACUCAGGUCCUUGUGCUUGCCAGACAUGCGCUUUACCUGCUGAGCCAUUCCUGUAGCUAGUAACUGUCUCCUUUCUUCUCUCACUGCAGUAGGCAACGGUCUGGUGGCUAGUAGCUCUGACUCGUCCAGCUCUGGCUCCAGCUCUGACUUGGAUGAACCUCCCAAUGUUCAGCCGGUCAAAGUGUCAUCUGCAGCAGCAGUCACCCCCACCAGCCCUGUGGACAGCAGUGGACUCAUCACUCAGGAAGGCGUUCAUAUUCCCUUUGAUGUCCACCAUGUGGAGAGCCUGGCUGAGCAGGGCACCCCACUGUGCCCCAACUCUGCAGGCAGUGGACCCGAGGCCCUGGAGACGGUGGUGUGUGUGCCAGUGCCCAUGCAAGUGGGCACCGGCCCUGGCACCCUCUUUGAGAAUAUGCCCCAAGAGGCUCUGGGCGAGGUGGUAGCCAGCUGCCCAGUGUCAGGCAUGGUACCUGGCUCCCAGGUCAUCAUCAUUGCCGGCCCUGGCUAUGAUGCCCUAACAGCUGAGGGCAUCCACCUCAAUGUGGCUGCAGGCAGUGGUACCCCCAGCAGCGGCCUGGGUGAGGAGGUGCCCUGUGCUAUGAUGGAGGGUGUGGCGGCCUACACCCAGACGGAGCCUGAGGGCAGCCAGCCCAGCACCAUGGACACCACCUCCAUAGCUGGCAUCGAAACCAAGAAAGGUCUCGGGGGUGCUACAGUGGGCACCAGCAGGGCAUGGGGGAGAGGAAGGAGUGGCCCUGGAAGGGAGCUCCUUGACAGCCUUGUCCCCACAGACACCACGCUGUGUCACUCAGUAGAGAAGGAGGAGAAAGAGGAUGCAGUGGCCCCAGAGCUGGCAGAGCUGGCAGCCACCAUGCAUGACAGCACAGAGCCCGAGGCAGAGGUGGACGGGGAGGAGUUGGACAGCAGUGACAUGUCAGCCAUCAUCUACGAGAUCCCCAAGGAACCUGAGAAGAGGCGGCGGAGCAAGCGGCCACGGGUGAUGGAUGCUGAUGGCCUGCUUGAGAUGUUCCACUGUCCCUACGAGGGCUGCAGCCAGGUCUACGUGGCUCUCAGCAGCUUCCAGGUGAGGCCACCCCCUGGGCUGGCCUGUUGCUGGGUCUGGCUGGUCUGGGAUGUGUGCCUUCAUGGAGGGCCCAGCAGGGGUGUCAUUUGUUGGACAUCUGCCACCAUGAGCCCUUUCACCCCAGCUGGCCUUGCUGUACAUCUGGCCCCUCAGCCUUCUUUCCCCACAGACACCAGCAUUUUCCAGGCCACCCUCUUGGCCUUCCACAGGAAGCCCACUUCAAUCCCUGGGUCCAAUCACAGGUGCCCUAGUUCCCUUCACCACCAGAACAUUAUUCCUAUAGUUUGUCUUCUGGAGUGUGGGCAGUGUCAGGGUCUUGUAUUGCCACAUAAAAGGCAGCACUGGGCCGGGCGUGGUGGCGCACGCCUUUAUUCCC
Molecule: long non-coding RNA, 1539 nt
Filed under: Nannospalax galili (Upper Galilee mountains blind mole rat)
Lineage: Eukaryota; Metazoa; Chordata; Mammalia; Rodentia; Spalacidae
Description: lncRNA (ENSNGAG00000024635.1)
Source: RNAcentral